GACGGGGGGGGCAAGUGUUCUUCGGAAUGACUGGGCGUAAAGGGCGCGUAGGCGGGCUCGCCAGUCCGGGGUGAAAUCUUUCGGCUUAACCGGAAAAGUGCCUCGGAUACUGCGGGCCUUGAGGGAGGUAGGGGCAUGUGGAACUUCCGGUGGAGCGGUGAAAUGCGUUGAUAUCGGAAGGAACGCCGGUGGCGAAAGCGACGUGCUGGCCCUCUUCUGACGCUGAGGCGCGAAAGCCAGGGGAGCAAACGGG
RNAcentral lists this ribosomal RNA (253 nucleotides) under uncultured bacterium. RNAcentral describes it as "partial 16S ribosomal RNA". It matches the Rfam family "Bacterial small subunit ribosomal RNA", at positions 524 to 776 of the family's 1533-position model. The record is from RNAcentral.